AUUGAACGCUGGCGGCAGGCCUAACACAUGCAAGUCGAACGGUAGCACAGAGAGCUUGCUCUCGGGUGACGAGUGGCGGACGGGUGAGUAAUGUCUGGGAAACUGCCUGAUGGAGAGGGAUAACUACUGGAAACGGUAGCUAAUACCGCAUAACGUCGCAAGACCAAAGAGGGGGACCUUCGGGCCUCUUGCCAUCAGAUGUGCCCAGAUGGGAUUAGCUAGUAGGUGGGGUAACGGCUCACCUAGGCGACGAUCCCUAGCUGGUCUGAGAGGAUGACCAGCCACACUGGAACUGAGACACGGUCCAGACUCCUACGGGAGGCAGCAGUGGGGAAUAUUGCACAAUGGGCGCAAGCCUGAUGCAGCCAUGCCGCGUGUAUGAAGAAGGCCUUCGGGUUGUAAAGUACUUUGGGAGGAAGGUGUUGUGGUUAAUAACCCAGC
RNAcentral lists this ribosomal RNA (441 nucleotides) under uncultured bacterium. Its description in RNAcentral is "bacterial SSU rRNA". It matches the Rfam family "Bacterial small subunit ribosomal RNA", at positions 30 to 472 of the family's 1533-position model. The record is from RNAcentral.